Molecule: long non-coding RNA, 179 nt
Organism: Dermochelys coriacea (leatherback sea turtle)
Lineage: Eukaryota; Metazoa; Chordata; Testudines; Dermochelyidae
Exons: 3
Source: RefSeq, a predicted model, not a curated record
CCAAAACUCUUUCCCUUGUGCCCUAUGUCACCUCCAAACCACUCUUCCCAACAUCUGGGUUCUUACUGCCACCAGCUGCCUCCAACACCUGUAGCUUCACCACCCAGCCCUGAAAACUACGACCCUUAACCACUGCACUCAACCCUCAUCACCAUGCCUUCCUGAUUUAUAGACAUCCC